RNAcentral lists this non-coding RNA (95 nucleotides) under marine eukaryotic metagenome. Its description in RNAcentral is "Glycine riboswitch". It matches the Rfam family "Glycine riboswitch aptamer", at positions 7 to 88 of the family's 94-position model. From Rfam's summary of the family: This family represents the bacterial glycine riboswitch. Glycine riboswitches usually consist of two metabolite-binding aptamers domains with similar structures in tandem. The record is from RNAcentral.
CCUGCGGGAGAGACCCUGCCUUUUAUUCGUUUUAUCGGGCAGGGCGCCGAAGGCGCAACCCGCUCGGAAUCGCUCAGGCAAAAGAACGGCAGGUA